RNAcentral lists this ribosomal RNA (451 nucleotides) under uncultured bacterium. RNAcentral's name for it is "partial 16S ribosomal RNA". It matches the Rfam family "Bacterial small subunit ribosomal RNA", at positions 328 to 793 of the family's 1533-position model. The record is from RNAcentral.
UCACCAGACUCCUACGGGAGGCAGCAGUGGGGGAUAUUGCACAAUGGGGGGAAACCCUGAUGCAGCGACGCCGCGUGGGUGAAGAAGCGCCUCGGCGCGUAAAGCCCUGUCAGCAGGGAAGAAAAUGACGGUACCUGAAGAAGAAGCCCCGGCUAACUACGUGCCAGCAGCCGCGGUAAUACGUAGGGGGCAAGCGUUAUCCGGAUUUACUGGGUGUAAAGGGGGCGCAGACGGCGAUGCAAGCCAGGAGUGAAAGCCCGGGGCCCAACCCCGGGACUGCAUUGGAAACUGUAUUGCUUGAGUACCGGAGAGGCAGGCGGAAUUCCUAGUGUAGCGGUGAAAUGCGUAGAUAUUAGGAGGAACACCAGUGGCGAAGGCGGCCUGCUGGACGGUAACUGACGCUGAGGCUCGAAAGCGUGGGGAGCAAACAGGAUUAGAUACCCUUGUAGAG